This 385-nucleotide ribosomal RNA is filed under the name uncultured bacterium. Its description in RNAcentral is "partial 16S ribosomal RNA". It matches the Rfam family "Bacterial small subunit ribosomal RNA", at positions 355 to 734 of the family's 1533-position model. The record is from RNAcentral.
UGGGGAAUGAUGCACAAUGGGCGCAAGCCUGAUGCAGCCAUGCCGCGUGUGUGAAGAGGCCUUCGGGUUGUAAAGCACUUUCAGCGAGGAGGAAGGUGGUGAGCUUAAUACGCUCAUCAAUUGACGUUACUCGCAGAAGAAGCACCGGCUAACUCCGUGCCAGCAGCCGCGGUAAUACGGAGGGUGCAAGCGUUAAUCGGAAUUACUGGGCGUAAAGCGCACGCAGGCGGUUUGUUAAGUCAGAUGUGAAAUCCCCGGGCUCAACCUGGGAACUGCAUUUGAAACUGGCAAGCUAGAUCUCGUAGAGGGGGGUAGAAUUCCAGGUGUAGCGGUGAAAUGCGUAGAGAUCUGGAGGAAUACCGGUGGCGAAGGCGGCCCCCCUGGA